UGGGGUAGUGGAGAUUGAUCGUGAGGGUUCGAUGCCGACCCCCAUCCUCUUCUCCUGCUUCUUUCCAAUCGGCUGCGUCUUUCUCAGUGGAUGCUUUUUCUACUGCUAUAUUUUGAGAAAUCCUAGUGAACUAGAAAGAACUCAAGCCUAAGGAUCUUGCAGAUGUCAUAAAGACUUGAUCAAUGAGCUUCGGUUACCUGUUUCUGAUUGAGAUAACAAGUGGAUCGUUGUAUACUUGGACAGCAGCAUGAACUUGCUUGGUUAUUGCAGAACUCUUGCUUUACCAAAGGGACAGCACAAAUGAGAUGGACGGUAUUUAGAUACUCUCAGGUUGCUCAACAGCAUUGAUGGCCUUGCACUGAUGAAUUCUUCUGGUUUUAGUCCUUAGUGCUUUUGCAAGAUGAGGAAAUUAGGACACAGUUGUUCCGCGGGAAGGCGGCCGUAUUAAAAAGAGAUACAAGUAGUUGAAACAUGUGCUUUGGAGUUACAUGAUCUGACUGUGUCAGUUGCGAGGAAGAAACCAAGCAAAAUAGCAAUGGCAUUAACCAAGAAGAGAGAGUUAUUGCACCAAAGAAGAGCACUGAUGUAGAAAGACAAAGGUGACAAGAGUGUGCUAUCAGUUGGUCCCACAGGGCAAAGAGGCUCGGCACUUCAUUGUUACCGUCCCCUACUCUCUGAUACCAUGGCAACUGAUAGCAGCUCCUAGAAUUCUUUGGAGUUCUCAUUCGUGUGUCACCCUUUUGGGCAACGUGGAAGGCGACGCGGUGAUGGCGCUGUCGGAUUUCGACUACCCCUCCACAUCCAUCUUCAUAUGCCUAAUGGAUCCAAGUGAUGAAGCAAAUCCAGCGCAGGAGGCAAGCUCGUGAUGGCAUCCUCCAUAUCCAUCUUCAUAUGCCAAAUGCAAAUGGAUCCAAAUGAUAAAGCAAAUCCAGCGCAGGAAGCAGUCUCGUGAUGGCAUGCAAAGCGGGGAAGAAGCACGUGAAUGCCUUUGAUCCUGACAGUGGCUUAUCGUUGAAAACCCCACAUGAACUUUCACUACGGACGGAAGCCUUCCACGUUACGCAGAUGGCUUUUGCUCCUCAUCAUUUAUCAUCUUCGUAGCCUUUAAAAGCAGGGAGCUUUGGAGCUGUGUGAGCUGCAAGUCAUACCACACAUCACAUGACAGGUGGGCCGAGUGAUUAGAUGGCAGGAGCAAGAGUGGAACACUGCUCGAGUCUUGGCUUCCUCUGCUGUGGCACCAUUAUUAAAGCUGAAGGAUGGGAACUGAAGAGAAAACCAUGUGCUCGCAUGUACGCCACAUGCAUCAGCUUCCCUCCCCAUGGACAGAUGAAGAAGAUAACUUCUCAAGGGUGGCGCCGAGAGUUUUAAGUUGGAAAGCGACGCUUCGCGGUGUUCCAGCUGUGAAAGAGCAGCUGGAAAGGAGGAAGACUUCCUGUGCUUUGAGCUUAGCCGUCGUCAAUGGUGGGUCUCUCAAUCUCCAAGUAGCUUGUUUCCUGUCCGUUCUUGGAGUAAAACCAGCAAGCUUUUAGGAUUAUCGGUGACAGUCAUCAGAUGUAGGUUGUCGUUCCGAGGUACGGAGUAUGAAAUCAAUCAUGCUCGUUUCACCUGCUCCGUUAUUGUUGCGAGGGUGAGAGAUGUUUGUGAGUCACGAGAGUGUACCCUUACUGCCAAUGGACAGAAGGGUAAUGUAAUGAGAGGUACCACAGCCGAUGUCAGCAUGCAACCAACGUGGGAUGUUCUCCCCCAUCAAUCGCGAUUAUUGUUAUUUAGCACUGCCUGCUAUUUGAUCUGUCUAUGGAUCAUUUAGGGGAUCGAUGAGCGUGUUUCUUACGUGUAACGAAGGAAAAAGAUCCACCUGAUGGGUGGAGAUUAAUACUUGUCA
This is a long non-coding RNA of Musa acuminata subsp. malaccensis (wild Malaysian banana), 1882 nucleotides long. RefSeq lists it as uncharacterized. The record is from RefSeq and is a predicted model, not a curated record. Lineage: Eukaryota; Viridiplantae; Streptophyta; Magnoliopsida; Zingiberales; Musaceae.